Molecule: long non-coding RNA, 732 nt
Filed under: Phoenix dactylifera (date palm)
Lineage: Eukaryota; Viridiplantae; Streptophyta; Magnoliopsida; Arecales; Arecaceae
Description: long non-coding RNA (PDAC_LNC011470)
Source: RNAcentral
GUCAAACCCCAUCGUCUGUCAUAUGUGAAGAUUUAUUCGUCUUAAGUUCGAGAGUGGAAAACUCUUUCUCCACUGUGCAUACUGCCCCGGCCGAGGUCUUAUGAACUCAGUCUUAUAAAUCACAUAGGAUCUCUCCUUAUCUAUCAAGGUCGAUAGAUUCCUUAUAGGUGCAUACCCUACUCCUACAGUGAACUUACUGCAGCCAAUCUACACUGCAUGGACCCAUAUGGCUAGGGACCAUGUAUGUGUGCAGUCAAACUACAAUAACCUCACUGUGAGUAGCCGAAGCACCGCAGGUCAAAGGACCAGUCACACUACUGCAACAUCAAGCAAGUCACUGACGGGUGGAUAGACAUCCAAGUGACUUAUUGUCUUGGUCACGCUCAGUACCCUUAUUCUCUAACAAGCACCUGCACUAUCACUUCAGUGUCCCUACAUUGUGGACUCAAGUCUCGUGCAUCCAGAAGGAAAGUGAUCUGUGCACUGAUCGGAUCGAUCACCGUCCUCGUGAUGAUCCAUUAAUCAGGAGCAUUUAGAAAUUAAUCACCAAUGAUACAUGGCUCAAAUUCUCAACUCUUGAGAAUAUGUAUCAUCAUCUUAUUAAUCUCUUGGACGAUUCAUAGACACAUAAAUAAUAUAAAUGAAAAGAUGCCUUUUAUUUAUUCAAUAAUAAAUAGUCAAGUACAAAAUUAUGUCCCUAGAAAUAACAAUGUGUCAGCCAGAUUGGCUUCU